UGGGUUUGAACUGUACAGGCAAGUCUCAGAGAUGAGAGCCCCUCUUCGGAGGACUGUACAGAGGUGCUGCAUGGCUGUCGUCAGCUCGUGUCGUGAGAUGUUGGGUUAAGUCCCGCAACGAGCGCAACCCUUAUUCACAGUUACUAACGGGUAGAGCCGAGAACUCUGUGGAGACUGCCGGUUGAUAAACCGGAGGAAGGUGGGGAUGACGUCAAGUCCUCAUGGCCUUUAUGUCCAGGG
This 240-nucleotide ribosomal RNA is filed under the name uncultured bacterium. RNAcentral's name for it is "partial 16S ribosomal RNA". It matches the Rfam family "Bacterial small subunit ribosomal RNA", at positions 976 to 1213 of the family's 1533-position model. The record is from RNAcentral.